CAAAAGGGAAUAAGAAAACAGAGCUCAAUUUCACAUGUUUGCGUGUUUCUUGAGUGGAAAAUUAGUACUGCAGUUUUGUAGCCUUCUCAGGGUCCAUGCUCCUUUCUUCAGCUUGGAAGGACAUUGUUGCAUUUGGAGAACGGUAGAGAAUAACUGCGCAAACCUCAGUAAAUUUAUGAUCAUGGAUCCAACAGGCUGCAGGUUGGGACUGGUCUUGCGUAAAUACAGUAAGCAAAGUAAAGGGCAAUGAACCAAGGGUCUAUUUUACACCAAUCCAUGCACCUUGGCCACUUUGCAAGAUUUGCUUAUAAUGAAUGAUGCAUAAUGCUCAUCGUGCUUACUUUCCAAUUUCCAUUAACUGAAGUACUAUUUAUGGUUCAUGUUAUUCAAAUGUUUUCAACAAUGAAUGGGAAAUGCUGAUGUAAUUGGCAAGAUGGAAAGGAGCACUGGGGACAAGGCAAGUAGAGUAUGAAGGAGGCAGUCAAUGAAGCAGUGAAAAUCAGCGCAUGACCAAAGCUAUCUGUACAUGCUUACAUUUGGGUAAAAUAAAACGUAUUUCUUGUCGGUGGCUUUCAGAAGGUGCUUGAAUUGUGAAUUAGUAUUCUCCGCAAAAAUGUGAUGCACCAUUGAUACGUUUCAUUGUAUGGGGUCCAUGCAAGAAACUUUUUAUCAUUAAGGUUAGUUAGAUAUUUCCAUCCCUGGUGACACAGGGGAAAGUCUAGCUACACCACAACCUUUGGGAAGUGGAAUUUCACCAGGACUGUGCCAAAGUGUGGUAAUUUCAACACAAUGCUGAUGUGGGACUAAGGGUACCUGUGGCAGGAUACAACCCAUCCCCAUGAACUGGAUCCCCCCUUACACAUACAGGAAGGUGGGAAUUCACUGCUGUACAAUAGAGUAUGAGUUUGGUGCCAGGCCUAAGAUAUUUUCCUUGGGUGGCUGAAAACUAUGCUGGCAUGGUGAAAUCCACCACUGCUUUCAUUCCCCAUGUCUGUCCAAUUAAGGCCUUUCACGAUAUGGAACGUGUUCCUUGUUGACCAAGGUCUUGAGCUGGAUCUAGAUUGUCAGGAAUCAAUGUACUGCUGUGUACUAGAUUGCUUUACCGGAGGUUCAAUAUGCGCCUCUCCCUUUAAGCUUUAUUGAAUGCUUUAAAGGGAGCCUAUCCCUUUGUAUGCUUGGAAUGAAUGAUGGUUUCGAGCUCCUAAAUCUCCUAGUCAUUCUCAUCAAACCAACCUCAGUACUUUCUGGUGGAGAAACCGAGUUUCUCCACAGGGCCCACUUCUUGUGGAUUUCAGGGCUAAACGUACUUUAGAUGUCAUUCAACUUCAGUUGAUUGGGUCUUUGAGUCGUUAUUAUAGAUUUGUCUGCCCUUGACAUUUAGGGACCAAGAUGACAGAGAUGGUGGAACCGGUUCGCCACUAAUCAGUCCAGCAGUCAAAGGCUAAUAUGAUAAAUUAACAGAAUAAGAAUAAGCCAUUUAGUUGCUUCAGGCUGCACAGACACCAAAUCGAUUAAUGGCUGAUUUAUUCUUGAAAUCAGCUCUGUAUUCCUACUUGCUCCCCAUUAUGCUUGACCCCCUCCUAUGGUCCAUAUAUCUGCCUUAAAUUCAUUCAAUAAUUCACCUUCACUGUUUCAGGGAUUGACGUGAGCUCUUGUAAUUGUUGCUCAGAUGAGAAAGGAUGCUGGUUAUUUUCUGUGUCCUGACAUUUCAUCAAAGGAUAGAAUCCUUUCAAGUAUGCUUUCCUGGCUUCUUCCCAGCCAUCCAAGACUUUGCAGACAUUUUGACCUAUACAGUGCUGGCAUUGAUAUUGCCAAAAAGAAUUAGUUUGUCUCCAGUGGAACUCGCGUUUGGAGUAGAUUUCCACUUUGGCUACUUGCACUGCUUCCAGGAUUUGGGACAUAUCUACUGUUGAUCAUAUGGUGCUGUUUCUAACCCACUGGGCUGAAGUCAGGUUCAGGUUGCUGUGUUCAGCUUGGGUUUAAUUCUACAUCUCUAGAGUGUGACACUGGAGGAGACUACAUAGGUUGCAAAGGGUGAGCCCAUGUGUUGGAGUAACUGGGAAAUAACAUAAAUCGGUAAAGACAAAGGUGAAGGAUCUGCAUUGGAGUAGCCAAAUCUGAAAGGGAUUUAGAUAUGAAUGAGGGAUGUGGUAGAAAAUGGGUUCAGAUGGUGGGGGUGCAGCAGGGUGCCAUGAAGGCAGGUUGCCAACACAGAGCAGUGAAGAAUGGCUUUGCCUCUUUAAAUAAGAGGUGAUUAUGUACAGCUUGUGUCAAGGAUCAGAGCUGUUAUUUCAUUGGGAAACAAGCAGAAGAAAAGUGAAUGUGACUUCAGAAGGUUAGAAAUAAAAAUAAACAGGUAGUUGUCAAGUGAAUCAUUUCCAAGCUACUUUGAAGACAAACAUUAGAAAAAAGAAAUGUCAAAAGUAAAAGGUUUUACUUUUAGAUUUUUUGUUAAUAAUCCAGUGAUGUCAUAAUAUUCUGACCAUCUACUUUAUGCUUUUGUUUUAAUCAGUGAUGAUUUAUUCUGGACUGAUAUUUAUAGAUUUUAUGUGGAAAAAUAUGACCUUGUUUGUUUUGUAUAUAAUUUCCAGGGUCUGUAAGUAAUAUGUUGCCUUCCUUUGUACAGAAAUGGACCGGGUCAUUGAAGAGGUCAAAUUUCUGAAAAAUGUUCAUUUUAGUGCAAAUAUUAUGCAUGUUACAAUUUGCUAAUAAACAUGUUUUGAUAAA
Molecule: long non-coding RNA, 2727 nt
Organism: Amblyraja radiata (thorny skate)
Lineage: Eukaryota; Metazoa; Chordata; Chondrichthyes; Rajiformes; Rajidae
Exons: 2
Source: RefSeq, a predicted model, not a curated record